GGAGUUUGGUCCGUGUCUCAGUACCAAUGUGGGGGACCUUCCUCUCAGAACCCCUACUGAUCGUCGCCUUGGUGGGCCGUUACCCCGCCAACAAGCUAAUCAGACGCAUCCCCAUCCUAUAGCGGUGAACCUUUGGUGUUCGUCAGAUGUCCUCAAAACACAACAUAGAGCAUUAAUCCGACUUUCGCCGGGCUAUUCUCUACUAUAGGGAAGGUUGGAUACGCGUUACUCACCCGUGCGCCGGUCGCCAUCAAUCAAAGCAAGCUUCGAUUAUGCUGCCCCUCGACUUGCAUGUGUUAAGCCUGUAGCUAGCGUUCAUC
Molecule: ribosomal RNA, 320 nt
Filed under: uncultured Prevotella sp.
Lineage: Bacteria; Pseudomonadati; Bacteroidota; Bacteroidia; Bacteroidales; Prevotellaceae
Description: partial 16S ribosomal RNA
Source: RNAcentral